GUUUCACUGCGGCGUUGGUGACUGCCAACAAUGUUUUACGAUCUAUGUUUGUUUCAAACGGGAACCAAGCUGUGUCGGUGGCGGUAUACCGGGCCUAGUACCCGGAAACCUUAAGCCUGAUGCCACGGUACCCACC
This 136-nucleotide small RNA is filed under the name Cyanobacteria bacterium Co-bin13. Its description in RNAcentral is "partial 6S RNA". It matches the Rfam family "6S / SsrS RNA", at positions 1 to 134 of the family's 187-position model. From Rfam's summary of the family: E. coli 6S RNA was the first non coding RNA to be sequenced, but its function was unknown until recently. It consists of 184 nucleotides that fold into an extended hairpin structure with a large single-stranded internal bulge. Lineage: Bacteria; Bacillati; Cyanobacteriota. The record is from RNAcentral.